AGUGAACGCUGGCGGUAGGCCUAACACAUGCAAGUCGAACGGCAGCACAGUAAGAGCUUGCUCUUACGGGUGGCGAGUGGCGGACGGGUGAGGAAUACAUCGGAAUCUACUUUUUCGUGGGGGAUAACGUAGGGAAACUUACGCUAAUACCGCAUACGACCUACGGGUGAAAGCAGGGGAUCUUCGCACCUUGCGCGAUUGAAUGAGCCGAUGUCGGAUUAGCUAGUUGGCGGGGUAAAGGCCCACCAAGGCGAGGAUCCGUAGCUGGUCUGAGAGGAUGAUCAGCCACACUGGAACUGAGACACGGUCCAGACUCCUACGGGAGGCAGCAGUGGGGAAUAUUGGACAAUGGGCGCAAGCCUGAUCCAGCCAUACCGCGUGGGUGAAGAAGGCCUUCGGGUUGUAAAGCCCUUUUGUUGGGAAAGAAAAGCAGCAGGUUAAUACCCCGCUGUUCUGACGGUACCCAAAGAAUAAGCACCGGCUAACUUCGUG
RNAcentral lists this ribosomal RNA (492 nucleotides) under uncultured bacterium. RNAcentral's name for it is "partial 16S ribosomal RNA". It matches the Rfam family "Bacterial small subunit ribosomal RNA", at positions 29 to 507 of the family's 1533-position model. The record is from RNAcentral.